AAAGCUAGUAGUGAGUCUCACAUCUAAACUUCUUUAAUAUGAUGUUCAUGGUCUUCAUGUUUUGUUUCCUUCAUCUGCCGGGGAAUAACGGCGUCUCUCAUACCGCCAGUGUCCUCCAAACACCUCCAUUCAUCAUUAAGAGAACUGGUGAAUCUGUUGUCAGUGAGAUCUACUGCUUACACAGCAUAACAAGCUAUGAACGCAUUCUCUGGUACAAACAGGACAAAUACAAAUCUCUGAAGUUACUGGGAUAUCUAAACCUGAAAUUCCCAUAUCCGGAGGAAGACGUGAAAGGAAAAAUCAGCUUUGAUGGAGAUGGCAGCAAACAUUCAAACCUGACUAUAUCUAAUGUUUCAUUAAGUGACAGUGCUGUGUAUUUCUGUGCUGCCAGUCAGCACAGUGCUGCAGAUUCCCCUCAGCUCACUACAAAAACCCUUCAUCUGUUUGACAGGCAGACAAAAUGUUCAGGCUCUUCAACACCUGCAGCCUGACUUCAACUAAACCAAGACUUGAAGAUUUUAUCAACUGUUUUGACACAUUUUUGACCCCCUCUGAGGUCCUGUUGUAGGCCCACAGUUAAACAUACUGUAUUGUCGUCAUAAUCCUUUGAUGUGCAGAACAUAAUGUUUGUAAUAUUGUCUCAUCAGCUACAAGAUGGAUGGAAUCUGGCACUAUAGUAGGUAUGGUACAUCAUUGUGGUUAUUCACUGAGAGAAAAAAAUGAUCACU
Thunnus maccoyii (southern bluefin tuna) is the source of this 728-nucleotide non-coding RNA. The record is from the annotation of a RefSeq genome assembly. NCBI's taxonomy places the organism in Eukaryota, Metazoa, Chordata, Actinopteri, Scombriformes, Scombridae.